GGAUCAUUAAUAUGAUCGGUAGGGGAGCAUUCCAGUCAGCGUCGAAGGCGUACCGUGAGGUAUUCUGGAGCGUUUGGAAAAGCAAAUGUAGGUAUAAGCAACGAUAAAGGGGGCGGGAAACCCCCUCGCCGAAAGACUAAGGUUUCCUGAUCAACGCUAAUCGGAUCAGGGUCAGUCGGGUCCUAAGGCUCAGCCGAACGGCGAUGCCGAUGGCAGAAACGGUUAAUAUUCCGUUACUACCUUCAGGAGUGACGUGGAGACGCAGUAGUGACAGUGCCGCCAUCUGACGGAAUAGAUGGUUGAAGGGUGUAGGAGUCGAUCAUGGCAGGCAAAUCCACCAUGAGAUCCGAACCUGAUAGUAUGCCGCGUCCUUCGGGACAAGGCAAUAGUGCGCGUAAGCAUGCUGCCGAGAAAAUCCGCUAAACUUAAUCCUGCAGGUACCCGUACCGCAAACGGACACACGUAGUCGGGAUGAAUAUUCUAAGGCGCUUGAGUGAUUCACGGUUAAGGAACUAGGCAAACUGACCCUGUAACUUCGGGAUAAAGGGUCCCUACCCUUUUAUGGGAGGGCGCAGAGAAUCGGUCCAGGCAACUGUUUAACAAAAACACAGGGCUGUGCCAAAUCGAAAGAUCCAGUAUACAGCCUGACACCUGCCCGGUGCUGGAAGGUUAAGAGGAGAUGUCAUCGAUGAGAGAAGCGUUGAAUUGAAGCCCCAGUAAACGGCGGCCGUAACGAUAACGGUCCUAAGGUAGCGAAAUUCCUUGUCGGGUAAGUUCCGACCUGCACGAAUGGUGUAAUGAUCUGGACGCUGUCUCAACCGUGAGCUCAGUGAAAUUGUAGUAUCGGUGAAGAUGCCGAUUACCCGCGAUGGGACGAAAAGACCCCGUGAACCUUUACUAUAGCUUAUCAUUGAAUCUGGGCACGUGAUGUGUAGGAUAGGUCGGAGGCUUUGAAGCAGGUACGCCAGUAUUUGUGGAGCCGCUGUUGAAAUACGACCCUUUAUUUGUUUGGAUUCUAACCCGUGGAACGGGGACAUUGAUUGGUGGGUAGUUUGACUGGGGUGGUCGCCUCCAAAAGCGUAACGGAGGCUUCUAAAGGUGCCCUCCGGCCGAUUGGUAACCGGCCUUAGAGUGUAAUGGCAUAAGGGCGCUUGACUGGGAGACUAACAAGUCGAUCAGGUAGGAAACUAGAGCAUAGUGAUCCGGUGUUUCCGUAUGGAAGGGACAUCGCUCAAAGGAUAAAAGGUACUCCGGGGAUAACAGGCUGAUCCCUCCCAAGAGCUCAUAUCGACGGAGUGGUUUGGCACCUCGAUGUCGGCUCGUCACAUCCUGGGGCUGGAGAAGGUCCCAAGGGUUGGGCUGUUCGCCCAUUAAAGUGGCACGCGAGCUGGGUUCAGAACGUCGUGAGACAGUUCGGUCUCUAUCUAUCGUGGGCGCAUGAAAUUUGCGUGGCUCUGACACUAGUACGAGAGGACCGUGUUGGACAGACCUCUGGUUUGCCGGUUGUGCCGCCAGGUGCAUUGCCGGGUAUCUAAGUUUGGAUCGGAUAAGUGCUGAAAGCAUCUAAGUACGAAGCCGGCCACAAGAUUAGAUUUCUCAGGGUCGUUGUAGACUACGACGUUGAUAGGAUGCAGGUGUAAAGGUAGAGAUACCAAAGCCGAGCAUUACUAAUUGCCCAAAA
This 1681-nucleotide ribosomal RNA is filed under the name metagenome. RNAcentral's name for it is "bacterial LSU rRNA". It matches the Rfam family "Bacterial large subunit ribosomal RNA", at positions 1205 to 2915 of the family's 2925-position model. The record is from RNAcentral.